RNAcentral lists this ribosomal RNA (545 nucleotides) under Colletotrichum acutatum. RNAcentral's name for it is "eukaryotic LSU rRNA". The stretch from base 194 to 347 matches the Rfam family "5.8S ribosomal RNA". The record is from RNAcentral. Lineage: Eukaryota; Fungi; Ascomycota; Sordariomycetes; Glomerellales; Glomerellaceae.
AGGGAUCAUUACUGAGUUACCGCUCUAUAACCCUUUGUGAACGUACCUAACCGUUGCUUCGGCGGGCAGGGGAAGCCUCUCGCGGGCCUCCCCUCCCGGCGCCGGCCCCCACCACGGGGACGGGGCGCCCGCCGGAGGAAACCAAACUCUAUUUACACGACGUCUCUUCUGAGUGGCACAAGCAAAUAAUUAAAACUUUUAACAACGGAUCUCUUGGUUCUGGCAUCGAUGAAGAACGCAGCGAAAUGCGAUAAGUAAUGUGAAUUGCAGAAUUCAGUGAAUCAUCGAAUCUUUGAACGCACAUUGCGCUCGCCAGCAUUCUGGCGAGCAUGCCUGUUCGAGCGUCAUUUCAACCCUCAAGCACCGCUUGGUUUUGGGGCCCCACGGCACACGUGGGCCCUUAAAGGUAGUGGCGGACCCUCCCGGAGCCUCCUUUGCGUAGUAACUAACGUCUCGCACUGGGAUCCGGAGGGACUCUUGCCGUAAACCCCCCCAAUUCUUUACAGGUUGACCUCGGAUCAGGUAGGAAUACCCGCUGAACUUAA